Molecule: non-coding RNA, 29 nt
Filed under: Cricetulus griseus (Chinese hamster)
Lineage: Eukaryota; Metazoa; Chordata; Mammalia; Rodentia; Cricetidae
Source: RNAcentral
CCCUAGGCUUUGAGCUGGCGGAAGGGAGC